This 492-nucleotide ribosomal RNA is filed under the name uncultured bacterium. RNAcentral's name for it is "partial 16S ribosomal RNA". It matches the Rfam family "Bacterial small subunit ribosomal RNA", at positions 29 to 507 of the family's 1533-position model. The record is from RNAcentral.
AGUGAACGCUGGCGGUAGGCCUAACACAUGCAAGUCGAACGGCAGCACAGUAAGAGCUUGCUCUUACGGGUGGCGAGUGGCGGACGGGUGAGGAAUACAUCGGAAUCUACUUUUUCGUGGGGGAUAACGUAGGGAAACUUACGCUAAUACCGCAUACGACCUACGGGUGAAAGCAGGGGAUCUUCGGACCUUGCGCGAUUGAAUGAGCCGAUGUCGGAUUAGCUAGUUGGCGGGGUAAAGGCCCACCAAGGCGACGAUCCGUAGCUGGUCUGAGAGGAUGAUCAGCCACACCGGAACUGAGAUACGGUCCAGACUCCUACGGGAGGCAGCAGUGGGGAAUAUUGGACAAUGGGCGCAAGCCUGAUCCAGCCAUACCGCGUGGGUGAAGAAGGCCUUCGGGUUGUAAAGCCCUUUUGUUGGGAAAGAAAAGCAGCAGGUUAAUACCCCGCUGUUCUGACGGUACCCAAAGAAUAAGCACCGGCUAACUUCGUG